GCCGUACAGUGACUGCGGAGGAUCAUUGUCGAAGCCUCACAAGCAGUGCGACCCUGUGAAUAUGUUUUACUACUCAGGGGUGGCUAGAGGUGUUCGUCACCUCGGUCCCCCUCGUGUCGGGAGGCGCCACACCCUGUGUGGUCUCCUCCUGGCCCAAUAACAAAACCCCGGCGCCGAACGCGCCAAGGAAAUUUUAAUUGUCUAGUGCGCCCCCGUCGGCCCGGAGACGGUGCCCGUGCGGGUGGUGUUGCGACACAUGUAUCCUAAAGACUCUCGGCAACGGAUAUCUCGGCUCUUGCAUCGAUGAAAAACGUAGCGAAAUGCGAUACUUGGUGUGAAUUGCAGAAUCCCGUGAACCAUCGAGUCUUUGAACGCAAGUUGCGCCCGAAGCCAUUAGGCCGAGGGCACGCCUGCCUGGGUGUUGCACAUCGUUGCCCCUGUUCCUUGGCCACGUGCUAGGCACCGAGUGGGGCGAAUGUUGGCCUCCCGUGAGCAGUGUCUCACGGUUGGUUGAAAACUGAGUUCGCGGUGGAGGGCGCCGUGAUGGAAGGUGGCUGAGUUAAAGCUCGAGACCGAUCGUGCGUGUCACCCCCACCAGCUUUGCAACUCUGUGACCCAUGGGGGUCUGUUGGCCUCCUAAGACGGGAACCUCAGGUCAGGCGGGGCUACCUGCUGAGUUUAAGCAUAUCAAUAAGGGGAGGAGGAAUUUUACAACUUUCAACAAUGGAUCUCUUGACCUCUGACAUCGAUGAAGAACGCAGCGAAAUGCGAUAAGUAGUGUGGAUUUGCAGAAAUUCAGUGAAUUCAUCGAAUCUUUGAACGCACAUCGCGCCCCCUCGGGAAUCCGUGGGGCAUGCCUUGUUCGAGCGUCAUCUACCACCUUCAAG
Molecule: ribosomal RNA, 887 nt
Filed under: Genista valsecchiae
Lineage: Eukaryota; Viridiplantae; Streptophyta; Magnoliopsida; Fabales; Fabaceae
Description: eukaryotic LSU rRNA
Rfam family: 5.8S ribosomal RNA (bases 269-424)
Source: RNAcentral